UCUCCUUUGUUCUUCCUUUAUUAAUAUUUUUCAAUUGCCGCAGGGCUGAACCAGCCAAGUCGCGUGAGGGAUUACGUUCCUAUUUAUUUUAAACCUCUUUUGUCAGGGAGCAAAGGGCGCCACGUGUGGCGUUUUGCGAGUACCUGAAGAAAAAGCAUCGGCUAACUCCGUGCCAGCAGCCGCGGUAAUACGGAGGAUGCGAGCGUUAUCCGGAUUUAUUGGGUUUAAAGGGUGCGCAGGCGGAAUGUCAAGUCAGCGGUAAAAUUUCGGGGCUCAACACCGUAGUGCCGUUGACAAUGGCGUUCUUGAGUGAGAGAGAAGUAUGCGGAAUGCGUGGUGUAGCGGUGAAAUGAAUAGAUAUAAAGAAGAAAUCAGAUUGCGAAGGCAGCAUAAAGGCGCUAAAAUGAAGCUCAUGCACGAAAGAGUGGGUAUAGAAAAGGAUUAGAUAAAAAUGUAGUC
RNAcentral lists this ribosomal RNA (459 nucleotides) under uncultured bacterium. RNAcentral describes it as "partial 16S ribosomal RNA". It matches the Rfam family "Bacterial small subunit ribosomal RNA", at positions 338 to 795 of the family's 1533-position model. The record is from RNAcentral.